AAUGAAGUAUUUUUAAUUAGGGUCCCGCCAAAGGCGGUCCCCUAUAGUGAUCAGUCUGUCCGUCCGUCCGUCCGUCCGUCUGUCCGUCCGUCCGUAACACUUUGUGUCCGCUCCAUAUCUAGAGAACCAUUAUGAUUUCAUACUUUAUACUUUACAUGUUUAUUAACCACCACCAGAGGGCGUGUCAUGAUGUAUGUACAACUUCCUAGGUCAAAGGUCAAGGUCAAAAAACUUUGGUUUCAGUUGACAACCCUGUGUCCUGUGGUGAAGAUCGUGUCCGCUCUAUAUCUUGAGAACCGUUAUGAUUUCAAAGUUUAUACUUGACAUGUAUAUGAACCAACACCAGAGGGUGUGUCAUAAUUUAUGAACGACUGCCUAGGGCAAAGUUCAAGUCAAAACUUUGGGUUUCAGUUGACAACCCCAUGUCCUAUGGUAAAGAUUGUGUCCGCUCUAUAUCUUGAGAACCGUUAUCAUUUCAAAGUUUA
RNAcentral lists this long non-coding RNA (485 nucleotides) under Mytilus galloprovincialis (Mediterranean mussel). Lineage: Eukaryota; Metazoa; Mollusca; Bivalvia; Mytilida; Mytilidae. The record is from RNAcentral.